UACGUAGGGUGCGAGCGUUAAUCGGAAUUACUGGGCGUAAAGCGUGCGCAGGCGGUUUUGUAAGACAGGCGUGAAAUCCCCGGGCUUAACCUGGGAACUGCGCUUGUGACUACAAGGCUGGAGUACGGCAGAGGGGGGUAGAAUUCCACGUGUAGCAGUGAAAUGCGUAGAGAUGUGGAGGAAUACCGAUGGCGAAGGCAGCCCCCUGGGCCGAUACUGACGCUCAUGCACGAAAGCGUGGGGAGCAAACAGG
RNAcentral lists this ribosomal RNA (253 nucleotides) under uncultured bacterium. RNAcentral describes it as "partial 16S ribosomal RNA". It matches the Rfam family "Bacterial small subunit ribosomal RNA", at positions 524 to 776 of the family's 1533-position model. The record is from RNAcentral.